This 460-nucleotide ribosomal RNA is filed under the name uncultured bacterium. RNAcentral's name for it is "partial 16S ribosomal RNA". It matches the Rfam family "Bacterial small subunit ribosomal RNA", at positions 338 to 795 of the family's 1533-position model. The record is from RNAcentral.
CCUACGGGAGGCAGCAGUGAGGAAUAUUGGUCAAUGGCCGGAAGGCUGAACCAGCCAUGCCGCGUGAAGGUCAGUGCCCUAUGGGCGUUAAACUUCUUUUGUGCGGGAGCAAUAAUGGUCACGUGUGGCCAGACGAGAGUACCGUACGAAUAAGCAUCGGCUAAAUCCGUGCCAGCAGCCGCGGGAAUACGGGGGAUGCAAGCGUUAUCGGGAAUUAUUGGGUUUAAAGGGGGCGUAGGCUGUGAGGUAAGUCAGCGGUGAAAUGCCCCCGCUCAACGGGGUGAAGUGCCAUUGAUACUGCCUGGCUGGAAUGCGGAUGCCGUGGGAGGAAUGUGUGGUGUAGCGGUGAAAUGCAUAGAUAUCACACAGAACACCGAUUGCGAAGGCAUCUCACGAAGCCGCGAUUGACGCUGAUGCACGAAAGCGUGGGUAUCAAACAGGAUUAGAUACCCUGGUAGUC